This 468-nucleotide ribosomal RNA is filed under the name uncultured bacterium. RNAcentral's name for it is "partial 16S ribosomal RNA". It matches the Rfam family "Bacterial small subunit ribosomal RNA", at positions 28 to 507 of the family's 1533-position model. The record is from RNAcentral.
GACGAACGCUGGCGGCGUGCUUAACACAUGCAAGUCGAACGGUGAUGCUCCAGCUUGCUGGAGUGGAUCAGUGGCGAACGGGUGAGUAACACGUGAGCAACCUGCCCCAGACUCUGGAAUAAGCGCUGGAAACGGCGUCUAAUACUGGAUACGAAACUGGCCCGCAUGGGCAUGGUUUGGAAAGUUUUUCGGUUUGGGAUGGGCUCGCGGCCUAUCAGCUUGUUGGUGAGGUAAUGGCUCACCAAGGCGACGACGGGUAGCCGGCCUGAGAGGGCGACCGGCCACACUGGGACUGAGACACGGCCCAGACUCCUACGGGAGGCAGCAGUGGGGAAUAUUGCACAAUGGGCGGAAGCCUGAUGCAGCGACGCCGCGUGAGGAAUGACGGCCUUCGGGUUGUAAACCUCUUUCAGCAGGGAAGAAGCGAAAGUGACGGUACCUGCAGAAGAAGCACCGGCUAACUACGUG